RNAcentral lists this ribosomal RNA (484 nucleotides) under uncultured bacterium. Its description in RNAcentral is "partial 16S ribosomal RNA". It matches the Rfam family "Bacterial small subunit ribosomal RNA", at positions 28 to 523 of the family's 1533-position model. The record is from RNAcentral.
GACGAACGCUGGCGGCGUGCUUAACACAUGCAAGUCGAACGGAAAGGCCCUGCUUUUGUGGGGUGCUCGAGUGGCGAACGGGUGAGUAACACGUGAGUAACCUGCCCUUGACUUUGGGAUAACUUCAGGAAACUGGGGCUAAUACCGGAUAGGAGCUCCUGCUGCAUGGGGGGGGUUGGAAAGUUUCGGCGGUUGGGGAUGGACUCGCGGCUUAUCAGCUUGUUGGUGGGGUAGUGGCUUACCAAGGCUUUGACGGGUAGCCGGCCUGAGAGGGUGACCGGCCACAUUGGGACUGAGAUACGGCCCAGACUCCUACGGGAGGCAGCAGUGGGGAAUAUUGCACAAUGGGCGGAAGCCUGAUGCAGCAACGCCGCGUGCGGGAUGACGGCCUUCGGGUUGUAAACCGCUUUCGCCUGUGACGAAGCGUGAGUGACGGUAAUGGGUAAAGAAGCACCGGCUAACUACGUGCCAGCCGCCGCAGUAA